This 304-nucleotide small RNA is filed under the name Histoplasma capsulatum var. duboisii H88. Its description in RNAcentral is "Histoplasma capsulatum H88 hypothetical RNA". Lineage: Eukaryota; Fungi; Ascomycota; Eurotiomycetes; Onygenales; Ajellomycetaceae. The record is from RNAcentral.
ACACACACUGGUUGCUGAGCGAGGAUCGGAUUUCGGAAUCUGCCUGAGAGCUCGCAGGACAGAGGGCUACAAUACAAGUGCUAAACGAGCUCCGCGUGACGGGCGCAUACGACAUUCGUCUUGGAAACGUGUCAAGAAGUCCCUGAAUUUAUGGAUUCCUGGCUUCCAGUUGUUGAUUUGCAAUUGCUACAUUUGUAAUCAGUCAUCUCUCCCGCGCGCCACAGUUCAAAUAAAGUGAUAUUAUAGACACUUAAUUGACUGGGCAUGCUUGGGCUGAAACUCAGUUGCCUCAAAAUAUCCAACA